Molecule: small RNA, 28 nt
Filed under: Bombyx mori (domestic silkworm)
Lineage: Eukaryota; Metazoa; Arthropoda; Insecta; Lepidoptera; Bombycidae
Description: ovarian small RNA-34162
Source: RNAcentral
UGCUCAUGGAAGGCGAAGCAGCCAUAUA